AACUGCAGCCAUAUCACCCUGCAACUCACAACUGCCAGCCCACUGAAAAUAAGCAGGUGUGAGCCUGGUCAGUACCUGGAUGGGAGACCUCCUGGGAAAAACUAAGGUUGCUGCUGGAA
Molecule: ribosomal RNA, 119 nt
Organism: Lepisosteus oculatus (spotted gar)
Lineage: Eukaryota; Metazoa; Chordata; Actinopteri; Semionotiformes; Lepisosteidae
Source: Ensembl